Molecule: ribosomal RNA, 253 nt
Filed under: uncultured bacterium
Lineage: Bacteria
Description: partial 16S ribosomal RNA
Rfam family: Bacterial small subunit ribosomal RNA
Source: RNAcentral
UACGUAGGGUGCGAGCGUUGUCCGGAAUUAUUGGGCGUAAAGGGCUCGUAGGCGGUUUAUCGCGUCGGGAGUGAAAUCAUCUGGCUUAACUGGGUGCUUGCUUUCGAUACGGGCAGACUAGAGGUAUGCAGGGGAGAACGGAAUUCCUGGUGUAGCGGUGAAAUGCGCAGGUAUCAGGAGGAACACCGGUGGCGAAGGCGGUUCUCUGGGCAUGACCUGACGCUGAGGAGCGAAAGUGUGGGGAGCGAACAGG